Molecule: ribosomal RNA, 320 nt
Filed under: uncultured Pseudomonadota bacterium
Lineage: Bacteria; Pseudomonadati; Pseudomonadota
Description: bacterial SSU rRNA
Rfam family: Bacterial small subunit ribosomal RNA
Source: RNAcentral
AUUGAACGCUGGCGGCAUGCUUUACACAUGCAAGUCGAACGGUAACAGGCCGCAAGGUGCUGACGAGUGGCGAACGGGUGAGUAAUGCAUCGGAACGUGCCCAGUCGUGGGGGAUAACGCAGCGAAAGCUGUGCUAAUACCGCAUACGAUCUAUGGAUGAAAGCGGGGGACCGUAAGGCCUCGCGCGAUUGGAGCGGCCGAUGUCAGAUUAGGUAGUUGGUGGGGUAAAGGCUCACCAAGCCAACGAUCUGUAGCUGGUCUGAGAGGACGACCAGCCACACUGGAACUGAGACACGGUCCCAGACACCUACGGGUGGCAG